Molecule: long non-coding RNA, 2637 nt
Organism: Phyllopteryx taeniolatus (common seadragon)
Lineage: Eukaryota; Metazoa; Chordata; Actinopteri; Syngnathiformes; Syngnathidae
Exons: 3
Source: RefSeq, a predicted model, not a curated record
ACCACAUCUGCCAUAUCAAAGUGAUUAUCUGGCAGAUAUAUAGCAGUUAAAUCCCACGCCUUCCGGUCUUUGUCUCUUUCCGGCGCUGUGACGUCACACAAGCCAAACAUCCUGUUCAUUCGGCAUUGUGUGCUAUUGUUCCAAUCUGUUGUUCCCGUCCUCGUAUAUUUGUUGUCGUAUGGUUUAACGAUGUCACGAUGGUUUAUUGUGUGGCAUUUGGCUGUACAAAUGGUUCAGGCAGCGGCAAGAGUUUUUUGUUUUUUUGGCUUUCCAAGUGAAUAAGGAAUACGUGACCAGUGGAUGGCGAAAGUCACUCGACAGGGGAAGAAACAUGUUCAGCUAUGGGUGCCUAGGAAGCAUUCCAAACUCUGUGCCGAUCACUUCGAACCGGUGUAUUUUGAGAAAGCAUUGGAUACACAGGUGUAGUUAGGCAGAGGUUGAAACCAGCUGUGGUGCCAACUAUUUUUUCAACGGCCAUUGAGACCUCCACCGCCAGCAAGAGAACUAAAUCUCGCAGCAGCGGAGCGGCGCAGACAAAAGGGAUCAAAAAUGCCUGAUCUCCAUAGGAGUCUGUCUUGUUCUGGAAAAGACCCCGCAGAUAUCAGUCAGAUUCGCAGAUAAGGUUCUUCAUGGGUGGAGGAGGGGCCCUUCGCAUCUUAGUGGACGGUGGUUUCAGGCGAGGGGGGAUUGGAGGAAGAUCUUGGCGUGGUGUGGGUUGGAUUCCAAUACAAUCCAAUUACAAUCGCCUUCAUCCUGUCCGUCACACCGAGCAGAGAAUUUAGGCUAGUAGAGAGUGACUUUUGCGUUGUGCUUUGCUCCAAUGGGGCAGGGAGGGGUGUGGGAGAUUCAAUGUGCUGGCUCAUCUCAUUUGUCAUUCGCUUCUCCGAUUGUUUGGAUGACCCUGAUGAGUCCAUCUGCGCCUCGUGUCGCCUUAUCUCCUGUUCCUCCGAUUGUUUGGGAACAACUGCAUCGUUUAGUCCUUCAGCCUUGUCACCAAGGCCAGUGUUUUGUUUUCGGGCCGCUGAAUGAUGUACAAAGUAAAAAAUGUUGGGAGCUAAUAACUUAACCCCUUGUCUAUUUAGACAGAAACUGUCUGCCUUCUAAAGAUGUCUGCACUCCCAAACAAUCCAGAAAUUUUCAAUGAAACUCACGGAUAGUGCCGUACUCACUUCUUUGAGCCACUUAUUUAAUUGACUGAGUCUAGAGAAACGCUGCAAUAAUUUGAUAUGCUCACAAUUCAGACCUUCUGACAGAGCACUAAGUGGAGGAAAGCAUUUCUUUCUCCUGUCACUUAAUUAUUUUUUCACGAGGCACAUUUUGUUACUGAUUUAGUUGUAAAUAGUUUCUUUGAAUAUCUAAAAAAAAACUAUAUAAAACCAAUUUAUCAUUAUUAUUAGUAGUAAUCAUAGUAGUUGUCAAGGACCGUUGUAUCCAUGGGUGAUGUGGGUGAACAACACCCACACCCAAUAGUGUUGCAGGCUGUUUCAAAUAUUAGAUUGUGUAUAUCCCGUGGGGCACUACAAAUGGACGUCAAUUGGCCGCCGUUUGGACAUCCCUGUGUUAAAGUGAAACACUUUACACAUCUACAAAAACUGUGGAUUUCCAACUGAAACAUGGCAUACGCUCAAAUCCAGAAAACAUCGUAAGCACAAGAAUAUCUAGACGUAUGAAUCUGUGCGUACGCAUGAAUCCAAGUACAUUUCCUUCGUACAUCCCAAUUGACAUAGAAUUGAGCGCAUGUUUGAGUAACUGACCACAUUUAAAUAUAUGCAAAUCAUAUUUAAAUUGACCCUGCACCUGAGAUCCCAAUCUCUGCACGAUCAGAAAAAAAAGAAAAGUGCAAGGCAGUAAAUAAAGAGAAUUUUUCUGAAUAUGAAGUUGAGACGAUGUUCAAUGAAUUGGAGGUGCGCAGGAAUAUCUUCUUUGACACACUGUCCUCCAGCGUUAACAACACGCGAAAGAGGAGUGAAUGGGACAGCGUGUGUGGCUGUCAAUGCUGUGGGGUCACAACAGCACACACACACUGAACUAAAAAAGAAGUGGUCAGACAUAAAGGUGGAUGUGAAGCGGAGGACAGCUGCCCACCUCCAAACUGUGGCCAAAACAGGCUGAAGAACCAGCACGGAGUGUGUCACCCCGUUCGAGGAGAGAAUCAUUGCAAUCAUGGGUGACACGACUCUCACGUGGCUGACUCCGAUUACCCCCAAGGAGAGGACACGCAAUCGUGCUACCUGUUCGGGGGAUCAGUACACCGUCCCCGGUGUCUCUAGUGUCACAGAUGCGGAGGAUUCGUCCAACGUUCCUGCCGUCUCCUCCGGCAUCCCCAGCGUCUCUGACGCAAUUACACUCCAACAACCGGCUGCUGUUCUCCGCCCGACUGGCCGUGUCCUCACCAGUGCACACGGAAAAAUUUGAUUAAUUUAAUUUGAACAUGAACGGACAUGAUUAAAAUGUGUUAAAAUGACCCCACACAUUUACCCCACUUCUAAACAAAUCUGUCAUUUUACCACAUUUGCAACCAAUGUACGAGUUCAAAUUAAGUAAAUUCAAAGGACUAUUUUUUUCAGUACAUGUGCUGGUGUCACAAGAAGAGAUUGUGAGGGCAAUAUAGGGGGCAUAAAUGAUCACCUUGAUCAA